CUCCCUGUGGCUCAGUUGGUAGAGCAUGGUGUUUGCAUGGUGUUUGCAAUGGUGUUUGCAACGCCAAGGUUGUGGGUUUGAUUCCCACAGGGGGC
RNAcentral lists this transfer RNA (95 nucleotides) under Salmo salar (Atlantic salmon). It matches the Rfam family "tRNA". Rfam says of the family: Transfer RNA (tRNA) molecules are approximately 80 nucleotides in length. Lineage: Eukaryota; Metazoa; Chordata; Actinopteri; Salmoniformes; Salmonidae. The record is from Rfam by way of RNAcentral.